UUAAGAAGUUGAAGAUCGCUUCAACUCUGUGAUAUGUCCCUCUGAAUAUCAGCUUCUAUUGUACGCCUUCUUCACAAGCUAUGUAGAGGCAGCUAAACCAAGCGUGAAGCUUACAUCUCUGUAAAACUGUGUUCGUUUUUCAGAUGGGAAAACAAAUCAACUUUCAUAUUUACCAAGUAAUUAAGUGCAAAUGUGUUUGUGUUCCCACUUCAGAAAUCCCACCUGCUCUAUCAAGGUUUUUGGGUGUCCAUAAGGCAACAAAGGAUACAUAGAAAUCUGUACAGCUUUAAUUGACUUGGAGAGUUGGAAAUGUUUUGUUGGGUUAAAUUAGGAUUUUUCAUCCUUCCUGAAACUGAGUAGAGAGAACACUUACAAAUGACUCAAUUCCAGGAUUUUAACACUUUUUUUUUUUUUUUUGCCAAGGGGAAUACUUUAGAAUGGUUAUGUCGGAAAGGCAAGUGAGCUGAAAUGUUGUGGUAGUAAGAUUUGCAGCAUUAAAUCCGGCUCAUUUCUCUUGUAUGACUACAGGUGGCAGUGUAGAAGCCAAGAACAAAAAUUGGCAGAAAUUACAUUCUGUGUACGAGAGAAUGAAGAGUAUACUCAUGACUAAGCACAGGAACCUGGAAAACCACAGGCUUUGGUCAGGUGAUCCAUGGUGACUGGUCAGCCCACCAAGAGGGUACCUCAGCAACCAGGUGGUGUUGGACUAAUGCUGUGGAUCGUUCAGCCCAGAACUUGUAGUUGCCC
Molecule: long non-coding RNA, 747 nt
Filed under: Chrysolophus pictus (golden pheasant)
Lineage: Eukaryota; Metazoa; Chordata; Aves; Galliformes; Phasianidae
Description: lncRNA (ENSCPIG00010008183.1)
Source: RNAcentral